Long non-coding RNA from Carassius auratus (goldfish), 453 nucleotides. RefSeq lists it as uncharacterized. The record is from RefSeq and is a predicted model, not a curated record. The transcript is spliced from 3 exons. Lineage: Eukaryota; Metazoa; Chordata; Actinopteri; Cypriniformes; Cyprinidae.
UGCAGGUGCACUAUCAAGACUUGCUGCAGUUCAUACAGAAAGCUGUACAAGACGACAAACAGCAAAGUGUUGAGGCAGAGAUCUGGGAUGUGUCAGUGACCAGUACUGACCUGGAAUCAGUGAGCGACAGAAGCGAAGCCAAUGCAGAACAAAAAGAAACAUGGCUUCAGAGGUUCCAGAAGAUGGAGAUGGCCUUAAAAAUGUGUGACACCCAAAACACAGGUCACUUGGACAGAGACCAAGCCAAACGCCUGCUACAGAACUACAGCCUCAUCUUUGAUCUGAAUCUGAGUCCUCUGAAGGUCAGCGAGGUCACGCGUAACACUCAGAGAGAGGGCAAAGUUCACCUCGCAUCAGCUCUGCAGAAACUGAAGGAACUACACACUGCUUAACCUUUCCUUAAACACAAGCAAAUGCUACAGAAUUCCAGCCAUCUUUAAUAAACACUGUCUG